CCUUGGCCUUAAGGAGCGGCUGAUGCCUGAUUAGCUAGUUGGUGGGGUAAAGGCUUACCAAGGCAACGAUCAGUAGCUGGUCUGAGAGGACGACCAGCCACACUGGGACUGAGACACGGCCCAGACUCCUACGGGAGGCAGCAGUGGGGAAUUUUGGACAAUGGGCGAAAGCCUGAUCCAGCCAUGCCGCGUGAGUGAAGAAGGCCUUCGGGUUGUAAAGCUCUUUUAGUCGGAAAGAAAGAGUCAUAGUAAAUAGCUAUGAUUUAUGACGGUACCGACAGAAAAAGCACCGGCUAAC
This 298-nucleotide ribosomal RNA is filed under the name uncultured beta proteobacterium. RNAcentral describes it as "partial 16S ribosomal RNA". It matches the Rfam family "Bacterial small subunit ribosomal RNA", at positions 211 to 501 of the family's 1533-position model. The record is from RNAcentral. Lineage: Bacteria; Pseudomonadati; Pseudomonadota; Betaproteobacteria.